CAAUGUGACCCAAAUUUAAACAUAUCUUCUUUCUCUCUCCCUUUCGGGCUCAACUUCUUUCUCUCUUUAGGUCUCUCUUUCUUUCGGUCUCACUCUCUCGGCCUCUCUCGCUCCGUCUCUCUCUUUCAGUCUCGCUCUCGGUUCUCUAGCUGUCUUUCUCUUUUGGUCUCUUUCUCUCCCCUUUCUCUCUUGGUCUCUCUCCUUUCUCUCUCGGUCUCUCUCCUUUCUCUCUCGGUCUCUCUCCUUUCUCUCUCGGUCUCUCUCCUUUCUCUCUUGGUCUCUCUCCUUUCUCUCUCGGUCUCUCUCCUUUCUCUCUCGGUCUCUCUCCUUUCUCUCUUGGUCUCUCUCCUUUCUCUCUCGGUCUCUCUCCUUUCUCUCUCGGUCUCUCUCCUUUCUCUCUCGGUCUCUUUCCUUUCUCUCUCGGUCUCUAUCCUUUCUCUCUUGGUCUCUCUCCUUUCUCUCUCGGUCUCUCUCCUUUCUCUCUCGGUCUCUCUCCUUUCUCUCUCGGUCUCUCUCCUUUCUCUCUCGGUCUCUCUCCUUUCUCUCUCGGUCUCUCUCCUUUCUCUCUCGGUCUCUCUCCUUUCUCUCUCGGUCUCUCUCCUUUCUCUCUCGGUCUCUCUCCUUUCUCUCUCGGUCUCUCUCCUUUCUCUCUCGGUCUCUCUCCUUUCUCUCUCGGUCUCUCUCCUUUCUCUCUUGGUCUCUCUCCUUUCUCUCUUGGUCUCUCUCCUUUCUCUCUCGGUCUCUUUCCUUUCUCUCUUGGUCUCUCUCCUUUCUCUCUCGGUCUCUCUCCUUUCUCUCUUGGUCUCUCUCCUUUCUCUCUUGGUCUCUCUCCUUUCUCUCUCGGCCUCUCUCCUUUCUCUCUUGGUCUCUCUCCUUUCUCUCUUGGCCUCUCUCCUUUCUCUCUUGGUCUCUCUCCUUUCUCUCUCGGUCUCUUUCCUUUCUCUCUUGGUCUCUCUCCUUUCUCUCUUGGUUUCUCUCCUUUCUCUCUUGGUCUCUCCCCUUUCUCUCUCGGUCUCUCACUCACUCUCUCUCUCCAAAUGA
Molecule: long non-coding RNA, 1041 nt
Filed under: Salmo trutta (river trout)
Lineage: Eukaryota; Metazoa; Chordata; Actinopteri; Salmoniformes; Salmonidae
Description: lncRNA (ENSSTUG00000031213.1)
Source: RNAcentral